AUGAGUCAAGGAGAGCUCUCACUCAGUUUGCGUCCGCUGCCACAGUGCGACACAUGCACUGGGAAGAGGAAACAGAAGAAACCGUUACUGUUUUGGUUUCCGUGACAGGACGGAGAGGGAGAUUUGUAUGGCAGACAUGUUGCAGAUGUCGUGCGUUUGAGGAUGUGCGCCCAUGAAGGUGUGUAUUUAUGUCACAGUUCUUUGCUUUUAUGAAAAUCUACACAUUCACUUU
Molecule: long non-coding RNA, 232 nt
Organism: Scophthalmus maximus (turbot)
Lineage: Eukaryota; Metazoa; Chordata; Actinopteri; Pleuronectiformes; Scophthalmidae
Exons: 3
Source: RefSeq, a predicted model, not a curated record